RNAcentral lists this transfer RNA (72 nucleotides) under Aedes aegypti (yellow fever mosquito). It matches the Rfam family "tRNA". Rfam says of the family: Transfer RNA (tRNA) molecules are approximately 80 nucleotides in length. The record is from Rfam by way of RNAcentral. Lineage: Eukaryota; Metazoa; Arthropoda; Insecta; Diptera; Culicidae.
GGUCCGGUAGCUUGGUUGGUAAAGCACUCGACUAGCAUACAAUAGUCGUGGGUUCGAAUCCUACCUGAGCAC